Molecule: ribosomal RNA, 397 nt
Filed under: uncultured bacterium
Lineage: Bacteria
Description: partial 16S ribosomal RNA
Rfam family: Bacterial small subunit ribosomal RNA
Source: RNAcentral
AUACGUAGGUGACAAGCGUUAUCCGGAUUUACUGGGUGUAAAGGGCGUGUAGGCGGUUUAGCAAGUCAGAAGUGAAAUUCCCGGGCUUAACUUGGGCGCUGCUUCUGAAACUGCUUUACUUGAGUGCUGGAGAGGAUAGUGGAAUUCCUAGUGUAGCGGUAAAAUGCGCAGAUAUUAGGAGGAACACCGGUGGCGAAGGCGGCUAUCUGGACAGUAACUGACGCUGAGGCGCAAAAGCACGGGGAGCAAACAGGAUUAGAUACCCUGGUAGUCCGUGCCGUAAACGAUGAGUACUAGGUGUAGGGGGUAUCGACUCCCUCUGUGCCGCAGUUAACACAUUAAGUAUUCCACCUGGGGAGUACGGCCGCAAGGUUGAAACUCAAAGGAAUUGGCGGGG